GGAUCUUUAGCUCAAAAGGUAGAGCAAUUGAGAAUGCAAAUCUCAAGAGAUGGUGGUUCAAACCCAUCAAGAUCCU
RNAcentral lists this transfer RNA (76 nucleotides) under Thalictrum thalictroides. RNAcentral describes it as "tRNA-Cys". It matches the Rfam family "tRNA". From Rfam's summary of the family: Transfer RNA (tRNA) molecules are approximately 80 nucleotides in length. The record is from RNAcentral. Lineage: Eukaryota; Viridiplantae; Streptophyta; Magnoliopsida; Ranunculales; Ranunculaceae.